UACCAAAGGAUGCUCUGUCUCCAGAAUAGUCAAUUAAAAAAAAAAUGUUUGAUUCCUGCAAAAUCAUGAUCAGAAACAGCAGCACUACUCAGAAUCUAAGGAAGGAAGCAGUGACUUACUGCUGAAAAACUUCACAGACAGGCAGUAAGCUACCAAGUUCUGCUUCAUGCACUGAAAGAAGGAAACCAAAUGCCUAUCAUUCAACUUGAAGAACAGGACAAUAGGCAAGUGUUCCUCAGCUAAUACUGAGCAAACUCCAAGGUGUCUCUUCAGGGUACAAAUCAAAAGGUAAAGGGCAUCCAUUAAUUUACCUGAAUUAGAGAGACAGGGGAGAGGAAUCCCCUUGGCUCUUGCUUUUUACUUGUGCCAGAGCUGUUUGAUGGUUGUGACACUAGGAUAGAACAAGCAGGAGGGAGCUAAAAAAUCCGUCCAUAACCUUUGAAAAUGAGCUCAGGAGUCUAUGAGUGAGUGGGUAUCGUUCAACUCACGCCAAAGGAUGAGGUGCCCCUGCAAGGAAAAAUUAACUAUCCAUCUCUUCUUUAUGACUGUAUGUCACCAGGAACUUUUUGAAGGUCAUUUGAGACAUGAAUCUGACUUCUCAGUUGUUUUAAUUGCCUGGAUGAGCUCACCUCAAAAUCACACAAAUACCAUCAAAGAAGAAAGAGAGAAGAUGAAGAAGGGACAGGGGGUCAACUGCAAUCCCAGAUGGCAGCUGCCUCUGUGAAUGUGAGUUCAGGAUCCCAGCAGACCUCUAUUUAUAGUCUUUCCCAGAGGGGAGGGGAGGUGGUUUAGUUCUUGCCUUCUGGAAGAAAUAAGAGCAUUGCCAUCUUGCCAGAGAUCAGUGCUGCCAGUCUGUUUUGCCAGGAAGCAUUUGGGACUGCAGAGUAAAUGCUCCCUUGAUGAAAUAUGAAGAAUUUGCAUUAUCAGAUUACUCCACCAAUCUAAUGCACGUUCUGUUCCUGACAGCAGCCAGCACAGGUUCUUCAGAGACUAAAGUCCUUAUAAUAAACAAUUUUGCAGCCAACA
This 1026-nucleotide long non-coding RNA is filed under the name Zonotrichia albicollis (white-throated sparrow). RNAcentral describes it as "lncRNA (ENSZALG00000000331.1)". Lineage: Eukaryota; Metazoa; Chordata; Aves; Passeriformes; Passerellidae. The record is from RNAcentral.